This 478-nucleotide ribosomal RNA is filed under the name uncultured bacterium. RNAcentral describes it as "partial 16S ribosomal RNA". It matches the Rfam family "Bacterial small subunit ribosomal RNA", at positions 28 to 507 of the family's 1533-position model. The record is from RNAcentral.
GAUGAACGCUGGCGGCGUGCUUAACACAUGCAAGUCGAACGAGAAGUGGAGACGGAAACCUUCGGGCGGAAGACUUUAUUUCGAGUGGCGGACGGGUGAGUAACGCGUGGGUAACCUGCCUCAUACAGGGGGAUAACAGUUGGAAACGACUGUUAAUACCGCAUCAGACCACAGCACCGCAUGGUGCGGGGGUAAUGACUCCGGUGGUAUGAGAUGGACCCGCGUUCGAUUAGCCAGUUGGCGGGGUAACGGCCCACCAAAGCGACGAUCGACAGCCGAUCUGAGAGGAUGACCGGCCACAUCUGGACUGAGACACGGCCCAAACUCCUACGGGAGGCAGGAGUGGGGAAUAUUGCAACAGGGGGGAAACCCUGAUGCAGCGACGACGCGUGAGUGAAGAAGUAUUUCGGUAUGUAAAGCUCUAUCAGCAGGGAAGAAAAUGACGGUACCUGAGUAAGAAGCCCCGGCUAACUACGUG